UGGGGAAUCUUGCACAAUGGGCGAAAGCCUGAUGCAGCAAUGCCGCGUGAGUGAAGAAGGCUCUUGGGUCGUAAAGCUCUUUCGACUGAGAAGAAGGGGGAUAGGGUGAAUAAUUCUAUUCUUUGACGGUAUCAGAAGAAGAAGCACCGGCUAACUCCGUGCCAGCAGCCGCGGUAAUACGGAGGGUGCAAGCGUUGUUCGGAAUUACUGGGCGUAAAGCGCACGUAGGCGGACUAUUAAGUCGAUUGUGAAAGCCCCGGGCUCAACCUGGGAAUUGCAGUCGAAACUGCUAGUCUUGAAUGUAUAAGAGGGUAGUGGAAUUCCCGGUGUAGAAGUGAAAUUCGUAGAUA
Molecule: ribosomal RNA, 350 nt
Filed under: uncultured bacterium
Lineage: Bacteria
Description: bacterial SSU rRNA
Rfam family: Bacterial small subunit ribosomal RNA
Source: RNAcentral